GGAUCGAUGAUGACACCCUCACAUGCAUUCCUUGGAAAAUCUGAACAAAAUGAGUGAGAACUCACUACCG
RNAcentral lists this small nucleolar RNA (70 nucleotides) under Moschus moschiferus (Siberian musk deer). RNAcentral describes it as "Small nucleolar RNA SNORD116 (ENSMMSG00000005185.1)". It matches the Rfam family "Small nucleolar RNA SNORD116", at positions 1 to 69 of the family's 92-position model. From Rfam's summary of the family: HBII-85 is a member of the C/D class of snoRNAs, which contain the C (UGAUGA) and D (CUGA) box motifs. HBII-85 is encoded in a tandemly repeated array with another C/D snoRNA, HBII-52, in the Prader-Willi syndrome (PWS) region of chromosome 15. The record is from Rfam by way of RNAcentral. Lineage: Eukaryota; Metazoa; Chordata; Mammalia; Artiodactyla; Moschidae.